RNAcentral lists this ribosomal RNA (253 nucleotides) under uncultured bacterium. Its description in RNAcentral is "partial 16S ribosomal RNA". It matches the Rfam family "Bacterial small subunit ribosomal RNA", at positions 524 to 776 of the family's 1533-position model. The record is from RNAcentral.
UACGAAGGGGGCUAGCGUUGUUCGGAAUCACUGGGCGUAAAGCGCACGUAGGCGGCUCGUUAAGUCAGAGGUGAAAGCCUGGAGCUCAACUCCAGAACUGCCUUUGAUACUGGCGGGCUCGAGUAUGGCAGAGGUUGGUGGAACUCCGAGUGUAGAGGUGAAAGUCGUAGAUAUUCGGAAGAACACCAGUGGCGAAGGCGGCCAACUGGGCCAUUACUGACGCUGAGGUGCGAAAGCGUGGGGAGCAAACAGG